AGCGUAGCUUGGGACAUGGAAGAGGGAUUUCCCGCCCGCGAAAGUCCGUGUCUCCUCAAAAUGGCCAGAUAUUGUUCUCCAAGGUUAAGUGGUUCAUAUGCAUGCUGUGGGUAAUGACAUUGAUAAUAUUGUACCCGAAUGAUGCAGCAGAAUGAACACAUUUUCCUGUAAAGGUCCAUCAUAUAGAAAUAAAAAGCUUCUGGAGGAAGAAAUGGUAGAUUGAAGAUUGGUAUCACAAAAGAACAGCUCUUCAAACAUUAAGUGAACAUGUGGAAAUAGAAUCACAUCUACUAUUUCCUUUCCAUUUUCAAUUGACGAUAAACAUAGAGUUGCACAGGAUAGGAUCGGUUAAAACAACUGUGAUCUGCAAAAGCAGGACUUGUAUUCAUUUUCAGUGACGUAAUUCCUAUAUGUCAUACUAAGCAUUUGGGGAAGGAUCUAUUUCUGUGCUUAAAUUUUUGUUACUGUGCAUUUCAUGAAGUAUAUUUUUUCAUUAAGAGAAAUACCUAAACAGAAAUAGUUAUAUAUUUUAAAAUGUUCCCAUAUUAAUUUCUGAGCAGCAGCAUAAAUGUGAAGGAAAGAGUUUGUUUAGUGAUUGUCUUUAAUUUUAACAAGUGACUGUUUUUCUAAUGAUUAACAACUAAGCCCAAUGAAAACUAAUUUGAAGGCAAUUGUGGAAUAUAUGUCUCCAUAUGUGUAUGUGUAUGCAUGCACUCACGCGCACAUGCUCACACACACAAACACACACACACACUUAUAUUUGCAUUUGAAAAAUCUUGAUAUAGCCUUACUGAACCAAUUGCAUCACUUCAGGGAUGAAUGGCUUUCCCAUUCUGGAUAGGGACCUUCAGUGUCAUGCAUGGAUUCUAUUCUUAUUUAUUUUAUUUUAUUUAUUUUAAUUUUUAUUCCUGCUUUUUUCUGUAUCUGUAGUUGAUUUUUUAAAACAUCAGAAAUAUUGAGAUUUUAUUUCAGCAUUUUUAAGCAAUGUUAAUAAUGAUUUAGAUAAAUAAAAAGU
Molecule: long non-coding RNA, 1015 nt
Organism: Thamnophis elegans (Western terrestrial garter snake)
Lineage: Eukaryota; Metazoa; Chordata; Lepidosauria; Squamata; Natricidae
Exons: 4
Source: RefSeq, a predicted model, not a curated record